RNAcentral lists this ribosomal RNA (468 nucleotides) under uncultured Anaerolineaceae bacterium. RNAcentral's name for it is "bacterial SSU rRNA". It matches the Rfam family "Bacterial small subunit ribosomal RNA", at positions 900 to 1382 of the family's 1533-position model. Lineage: Bacteria; Bacillati; Chloroflexota; Anaerolineae; Anaerolineales; Anaerolineaceae. The record is from RNAcentral.
CUUAAAGGAAGUUGACGGGGGCCCGCACAAGCGGUGGAGCAUGUGGUUUAAUUCGAUGCUACACGAAGAACCUUACCAGGGUUUGACAUGCAAGUGGUAGGAAUCUGAAAAGGGACCGACCUUCGGGAGCUUGCACAGGUGCUGCAUGGCUGUCGUCAGCUCGUGUCGUGAGAUGUUCGGUUAAGUCCGCUAACGAGCGCAACCCUCACUGUGUGUUAUAUGUGUCACACGGGACUGCCGGUUUUAAGCCGGAGGAAGGUGGGGAUGACGUCAAGUCAGCAUGGCCUUUAUAUCCUGGGCUACACACACGCUACAAUGGUCGGUACAAUAGGUUGCCAAGCCGCGAGGCGGAGCCAAUCCACAAAGCCGGCCUCAGUUCAGAUUGUAGGCUGCAACUCGCCUGCAUGAAGAUGGAGUUGCUAGUAACCGCAGGUCAGCAAUACUGCGGUGAAUACGUUCCCGGGUCUU